This 112-nucleotide microRNA precursor is filed under the name Rosa chinensis. RNAcentral's name for it is "sRNA RchiOBHm_Chr1g0369091". It matches the Rfam family "mir-393 microRNA precursor family". The record is from Rfam by way of RNAcentral. Lineage: Eukaryota; Viridiplantae; Streptophyta; Magnoliopsida; Rosales; Rosaceae.
AGAGGAGGCAUCCAAAGGGAUCGCAUUGAUCCUAAGCUAGCAAAGCCUUCUUGAUCAUAUCGCGCGAUCCCUAAAUAGUUUCGGAUCAUGCUAUCCCUUUGGAUUUCUCCUU